GGGUUGUGAGGUUAAGCGACUAAGCGUACACGGUGGAUGCCCUGGCAGUCAGAGGCGAUGAAGGACGUGCUAAUCUGCGAAAAGCGCCGGCGAGGUGAUAUGAACCUUUGACCCGGCGAUGUCCGAAUGGGGAAACCCAGUGUGAUUCGUCACACUAUCGUUAACUGAAUACAUAGGUUAACGAGGCGAACCGGGGGAACUGAAACAUCUAAGUACCCCGAGGAAAAGAAAUCAACCGAGAUUCCCCCAGUAGCGGCGAGCGAACGGGGAGCAGCCCAGAGUCUGAAUCAGCUUGUGUGUUAGUGGAACGGUCUGGAAAGUCCGACGGUACAGGGUGAUAGUCCCGUACACGAAAACACACAGGUUGUGAACUCGAAGAGUAGGGCGGGACACGUGGUAUCCUGUCUGAAUAUGGGGGGACCAUCCUCCAAGGCUAAAUACUCCUGACUGACCGAUAGUGAACCAGUACCGUGAGGGAAAGGCGAAAAGAACCCCGGCGAGGGGAGUGAAAAAGAACCUGAAACCGUGUACGUACAAGCAGUGGGAGCACCUUCGGGUGUGACUGCGUACCUUUUGUAUAAUGGGUCAGCGACUUAUAUUCUGUAGCAAGGUUAACCGUAUAGGGGAGCCGGAGGGAAACCGAGUCUUAACUGGGCGUUAAGUUGCAGGGUAUAGACCCGAAACCCGGUGAUCUAGCCAUGGGCAGGUUGAAGGUUGGGUAACACUAACUGGAGGACCGAACCGACUAAUGUUGAAAAAUUAGCGGAUGACUUGUGGCUGGGGGUGAAAGGCCAAUCAAACCGGGAGAUAGCUGGUUCUCCCGAAAGCUAUUUAGGUAGCGCCUCGUGAACUCAUCUUCGGGGGUAGAGCACUGUUUCGGCUAGGGGGCCAUCCCGGCUUACCAACCCGAUGCAAACUACGAAUACCGAAGAAUGUUAUCACGGGAGACACACGGCGGGUGCUAACGUCCGUCGUGAAGAGGGAAACAACCCAGACCGCCAGCUAAGGUCCCAAAGUCAUGGUUAAGUGGGAAACGAUGUGGGAAGGCACAGACAGCCAGGAUGUUGGCUUAGAAGCAGCCAUCAUUUAAAGAAAGCGUAAUAGCUCACUGGUCGAGUCGGCCUGCGCGGAAGAUGUAACGGGGCUAAACCAUGCACCGAAGCUGCGGCAGCGACACUAUGUGUUGUUGGGUAGGGGAGCGUUCUGUAAGCCGUUGAAGGUGGCCUGUGAGGGCUGCUGGAGGUAUCAGAAGUGCGAAUGCUGACAUAAGUAACGAUAAAGCGGGUGAAAAGCCCGCUCGCCGGAAGACCAAGGGUUCCUGUCCAACGUUAAUCGGGGCAGGGUGAGUCGACCCCUAAGGCGAGGCCGAAAGGCGUAGUCGAUGGGAAACAGGUUAAUAUUCCUGUACUUGGUGUUACUGCGAAGGGGGGACGGAGAAGGCUAUGUUAGCCGGGCGACGGUUGUCCCGGUUUAAGCAUGUAGGCGGAGGUUCCAGGUAAAUCCGGUACCUUUUUAACGCUGAGGUGUGAUGACGAGGCACUACGGUGCUGAAGUAACAAAUGCCCUGCUUCCAGGAAAAGCCUCUAAGCAUCAGGUAACAUCAAAUCGUACCCCAAACCGACACAGGUGGUCAGGUAGAGAAUACCAAGGCGCUUGAGAGAACUCGGGUGAAGGAACUAGGCAAAAUGGUGCCGUAACUUCGGGAGAAGGCACGCUGAUAUGUAGGUGAAGCCCCUGCGGGUGGAGCUGAAAUCAGUCGAAGAUACCAGCUGGCUGCAACUGUUUAUUAAAAACACAGCACUGUGCAAACACGAAAGUGGACGUAUACGGUGUGACGCCUGCCCGGUGCCGGAAGGUUAAUUGAUGGGGUUAGCGGCAACGCGAAGCUCUUGAUCGAAGCCCCGGUAAACGGCGGCCGUAACUAUAACGGUCCUAAGGUAGCGAAAUUCCUUGUCGGGUAAGUUCCGACCUGCACGAAUGGCGUAAUGAUGGCCAGGCUGUCUCCACCCGAGACUCAGUGAAAUUGAACUCGCUGUGAAGAUGCAGUGUACCCGCGGCAAGACGGAAAGACCCCGUGAACCUUUACUAUAGCUUGACACUGAACACUGGUCCUUGAUGUGUAGGAUAGGUGGGAGGCUUUGAAGUGUGGACGCCAGUCUGCAUGGAGCCGUCCUUGAAAUACCACCCUUUAAUGGCUGGUGUUCUAACGUAGACCCGUAAUCCGGGUUGCGGACAGUGUCUGGUGGGUAGUUUGACUGGGGCGGUCUCCUCCCAAAGAGUAACGGAGGAGCACGAAGGUUAGCUAAUCCUGGUCGGACAUCAGGAGGUUAGUGCAAUGGCAUAAGCUAGCUUGACUGCGAGAGUGACGGCUCGAGCAGGUGCGAAAGCAGGUCAUAGUGAUCCGGUGGUUCUGAAUGGAAGGGCCAUCGCUCAACGGAUAAAAGGUACUCCGGGGAUAACAGGCUGAUACCGCCCAAGAGUUCAUAUCGACGGCGGUGUUUGGCACCUCGAUGUCGGCUCAUCACAUCCUGGGGCUGAAGUAGGUCCCAAGGGUAUGGCUGUUCGCCAUUUAAAGUGGUACGCGAGCUGGGUUUAGAACGUCGUGAGACAGUUCGGUCCCUAUCUGCCGUGGGCGCUGGAGAAUUGAGGGGGGCUGCUCCUAGUACGAGAGGACCGGAGUGGACGCAUCACUGGUGUUCGGGUUGUCAUGCCAAUGGCACUGCCCGGUAGCUAAAUGCGGAAGAGAUAAGUGCUGAAAGCAUCUAAGCACGAAACUUGCCCCGAGAUGAGUUCUCCCUGAGCCUUUAAGGCUCCUGAAGGAACGUUGAAGACGACGACGUUGAUAGGUCGGGUGUGUAAGCGCAGCGAUGCGUUGAGCUAACCGAUACUAAUGAACCGUGAGGCUUAACCUUACAACGCCGAAG
Molecule: ribosomal RNA, 2924 nt
Filed under: Enterobacter sichuanensis
Lineage: Bacteria; Pseudomonadati; Pseudomonadota; Gammaproteobacteria; Enterobacterales; Enterobacteriaceae
Description: 23S ribosomal RNA
Rfam family: Bacterial large subunit ribosomal RNA
Source: RNAcentral